AUGUACAAGCCUGCUCCUGCAACUAGGCGUGAGACCCCUGCUUCCAGCUCUCUCUGGUCUCCGCCGCCGCCAGGUACGCUGUUGGUAUCGUCGGAUGCUGCUGUCUCACGGGAGCUUGGUAAAUCUUGCAUUGGUGUGGUGGUUCACGACCACGCCGGUCAGUGCAUUGCUGCUACCUCUGAACCAUUGAUUGGUGUUUCUGAUCCUGAAAUGGCGGAGGCUUUGGCUCUUCGUCGGGCGGCAGGACUGGUACGGGAGGAGAACUACUCGGAUGUGAUCUUUCUCUCAGACUGUCUCUCUGUGGUGCAAAGAAUAAAUUCUUCCUCCUGA
RNAcentral lists this ribosomal RNA (330 nucleotides) under Triticum aestivum (bread wheat). RNAcentral describes it as "partial small subunit ribosomal RNA". The record is from RNAcentral. Lineage: Eukaryota; Viridiplantae; Streptophyta; Magnoliopsida; Poales; Poaceae.